UGGGGAAUAUUGCACAAUGGGCGCAAGCCUGAUGCAGCCAUGCCGCGUGUGUGAAGAAGGCCUUCGGGUUGUAAAGCACUUUCAGCGAGGAGGAAGGUGGUGAACUUAAUACGUUCAUCAAUUGACGUUACUCGCAGAAGAAGCACCGGCUAACUCCGUG
This 160-nucleotide ribosomal RNA is filed under the name uncultured bacterium. RNAcentral's name for it is "partial 16S ribosomal RNA". It matches the Rfam family "Bacterial small subunit ribosomal RNA", at positions 355 to 507 of the family's 1533-position model. RNAcentral also lists the same sequence under 1 other name. The record is from RNAcentral.